Equus quagga is the source of this 4164-nucleotide RNA transcript. It is a transcript of the gene named zinc finger protein 674-like, with no coding region annotated. The record is from RefSeq and is a predicted model, not a curated record. The transcript has 4 exons. Lineage: Eukaryota; Metazoa; Chordata; Mammalia; Perissodactyla; Equidae.
AGGCGGGGUUGGGGAUACGCGCGAUGCGGGGGUCGGAGGGGCCAGGGGUAACGGGCUCGCGUCCCCGAAGGUGGAGUGGCAGGACCGUGGAGGUCAGCGAGUGAUUCAUUGAUUCAUUCAUUGAUUCAUGCAGCGAGUGCUCACUGAGUGCCUAGUAAAUACGAGGCCCCGUUGGGUUGCACCCUAAUGUCCACAGUAGCCCUGUGAGGGAGGUGCUACGCGUCUCUUCAUUUUAGAGAGAGAAAGCAAGAGGGGAAAGGCUCGGAACCUGUCCAAAGGCGCACAGCUAGGAAAGCGGGGCAUCCUUUUUCUUUGUGCUUUUUUCCUCCUGGCACUGAUCCCUUUCGAACGCACCGUGUGAUUUCUUUAUCAUGUUUGUUGCUGACUGUCUCCCCAGCUAGAAUCUUGCUCCGCAAGAUCGGGGAGCUCCUACACUUUGUUCACUGAGGUCUCUGCAACACGUAGAGCAGUGGAACAGGCACACAGUAGGCGCUCACCUCUUUAUCGAGUGACUAAAGGCCCAGAGGAGGCAGGCAGUUGGUUCCAGAGCCCGGGCUCUGAGGAAGUCAGACAGUGCCUAGCUCCUCGUCUGGCGAUAGUUGAGCUCUCGAUAAAUGUUAACUCCUAAAACGAGGACGAGGCACUGCGCCUCCUCGUGUCCAGGAAAACAUUUGGGUUUUCCUCCACUUCCCUGCAUCAUCAGGGUUGCUGAUUGCAUCUCCUGUGUGGUCAUUGUCUUUCCAGGGUCGGGGUGCGUAGCUGAGACCAGUGCUCGCCUUCACGCUCCAGCUUAUGUGCCCUGGGCUCCGAUUGUCAGUCUCCGGAAGAGCAGGUGUGAGGCCUCAGGAGGAGAGUAGUCUGCAGGCAUGUGAUCAUCCAGGUCUGCCGCCUCAUUUUGAUGCCAGUGUAACUGGGCCUGAGAACGUGACUUGUAAAGCUACGAGGCGCUGAAUGCCUUUGUCCUGAUGCUGCUGCAGGGGUUGCUCCAGUGGCCGCGGUUACUCUGCCCAAAAGCUCUUCAGUGACACUUUCCUUUCAAACUUCCAAGCAGGGAGGAGCAGGACAGUCAAAUGGAAAUCAUGGGAAAGGAGGAAGUGCGGGGGCGGGAACAGGGUGGUGGUGGGCCUGCAAGGGGCAGAGGGGGCAGGGGGCAAGGUCAGUGGUUUCCAGCUCCCUGUGGAACUGACCAGUGCUGGCUCUUCACCUCCUCCUCCGCCCUCUCCUCCCCCCAGGGCUCUCAGCCCUGUUUUCUCUCUCUCCUGCAAACCACAGCAAGGUGUCCCUGUCCUCCACACUUUGUCCAGGGUCCUACACCUCUAGGGCUCAGCGUGAGCAUAGGUGAUUUGUAAUCAUUUUUAAUAUUCAUUUUACUAGUAAUUAGUAUUCACUGUCACAAAUGAGAAAAUGCAAGUACCCAGCAGAGGACAGGUGAAAUCACCACUCAGAGGUAAGCAGUGUCUGCAGUGAAACAGAUGCUCUUCUAGACUCUCUUCCUCAGUUCGGACACACUGCUGAACAAGUGGCAUCGUGCUGCACUUGCUUUUUUGGAACCUGCUUUUAAACAUGUUGAGAAAUGCAAACAAGAUUCCAUAGCAUUUUUAAAGCCCACGAGGUGUCCCGUUGUGUGUGUCUUAUUUUUUAACUGAGUCCCCUCUGCUGGAGGUUUAGUUGCUUCCAAGUUUCUGGAUGCUGCAAACAAGUUAAUAUCCUUGCGGCUUUGUGCUCAUUUGUGAUGAUUGCUUACUUAGGGUGCAUUUCCAGGAAUAGAAUUCUUGAGAGAAAGGAGGUGUCAGGUUGUUAAUGGCUUCUGGGUAGAUGUCUUUAAACACAAGCCAUACAUCCGUCCAGGAAGAGAAAAAAGAUUCUGUGUGCAAAAGCCACAUGAUCUUAGCCAUGUCCCACGGGGACAGGCUAGAGCUACGAGGCCGUGUUUCCAGGUCAUUCUGACGGUUCAAGGAAGAUUCUUACUGGGCUGGCGAUGAUGGUCUCAGGGCUGUGUGCACUGAUCUCGACCCUCUAAUCCUGCCUUUGUAGAUCUCCAUCCUUUGUCCGGGGCAGAACAGGAUGGCCAAGUCCCAGUGAGAGUUCUUUUCCACGGAAAUUCUGUGUACUCUGAGCUGUGAAAACAUCACUCAACUGUUUGGAUAGCCCCACUGCUGGGGCCCAGUGGUUCCACUGAUGCAGGACCAAUUGUUAGGUGAAUUUCUCAACUACUAGGAUUUGUAUUAUACUUCAGAUGUCCAUUUGGAAUGCACAUGAUUUGGGAUUUUCCAGUUAUCUUCCUACAUGUGGUACAUGACUAGAGUUCUGAUUUCUUAAUUCUGGCAAGUUGAUGACCAGAUACAUAACCACAAGGAAAGCCAAGACAAGCCUCUGUGGCAAACUGCAUUCAUACACAAGGAAACAGUGAAGGAUGAACGUGGCCAAGAAUUCAGAACAUGCAGAAAAAUCAUUUAUCCGAGCCCAGACUUUGUUUCUAUAAGACAACGACUCCCUAAAUAUUAUUCAUGGGGAAGGAGUUCAAAACAUAAUUUAAACUUUCUUAGUCAAAACAGAAGCUACGUAAGAAAGAAAGAUGAUGAAUGUAAGGCCUAUUGGAAAUUAUGCUUCCAUUCUAAUCUUGAUCAAGCUCAACCUGGAGAGACCAUCUUUGAGCCUAAUCAACGUGGAAAAGCCCUCCACCAUAAGCAAAGCCUUAAUAAAAGUCGGAGAAUUCAAACUGGGGAGAAACUCUAUGAAUGUUCUGAAUGUGGAAAAGUGUUUAUCCAGAAAGCUAACCUCGUUGUACAUCAGAGAACUCACACAGGAGAGAAACCUUAUGAAUGCUGUGAAUGUGCAAAAGCCUUCAGUCAGAAGUCAACCCUCAUUGCACACCAGAGAACUCAUACAGGGGAGAAGCCCUAUGAAUGCAGUGAAUGCGGGAAAACCUUUAUCCAGAAGUCAACUCUGAUCAAACAUCAGCAAACUCGUACAGGAGAGAAACCCUAUGAAUGCAGAGAAUGUGGCAAAGCCUUCAGUGGGAAGACAGCUCUCGUUAAACAUCAGAGAAGUCAUUCAGGAGAUCAAACCUAACAAUAAACUUUCAAGUGGGAUAACUUUAUCCAUAAAUUAUAUAUCGUUAUACUAUGCAGCAAAGAACUCAUUGAGUAACCGUGUAAAUCUAAUGAACAUCAGAAAGCACUCAGCCUUUAUUAGAUUUAAGAAAACUCAAAGUUAUGAUAAAGCGUACAAUAAAUGUGAUAAAUUCUUCACCCAGGAGUUUUAAUACAUUGUACAUCAAAGAAUUUAUGAAGGGUCAAAACCAUGAAUAUAGUGAAAGUUGGAAAGCCUUUGGAAAGAAGUUAAAUGUCAUUUUAUAUUAGAGCUCUUAUGUUCAGGAGACACUAUCAAUUUAAUGAGUUGGAGAACCCCAAUUUCCUAGAAAUUAUAUUGUGAGGAAAAUGAAGUUCUAGAUGUCGUCAUACAUUUUAUAGAAAAGAUCAUAGAGGUUACAAUCAAGCACUCAAUUUUAAAUUAUAUACAUAUUCACUCCAGAAUAAAGUUUUGAAGUAUAAAUACAUUGAAUAAUCAGGAGGACAGAGGAAAAAACAUAUUAACCCUUGCUAGGCAAAACUCCCAGAUUAAUCUGUAAAUAGAUAGACCCUAAAUAGAUUAGUCUGAGAGAGGAUGUGCCCGCAGGAUCCUCACACAAAAGGAACCCAAGCAGAGGAACUGACACAUGUGUUCUAUCAUUAUAAGUGUGCAAAUGUCUUAUGAAGAAAGAUUGUAUCCUUCUGGGAUAUUUCUUAGAACAGUGGUCACAAUUUAUUAUAUUCUGUUCAUAAGAAGUAAUUAUAUUAUGGUGAGACAAUAGGAGGUUAAGGAUUUCCAGGAAAUAUCCUGUAAGAACAGUAUUAAUUGAAAUAAAAAUUAGAAGCAUCUUGAAUAUCCAAUGAUAGAUGAUUGUAGAUCUAUCAAUAGUUAAAUUGCUAUAAUAUGCUGCCAUUAAUUAUGUAUCCAUUAUUUUGUUUAAGGAUUUGGAAAGUGUGGAAGAUAUAAACUGUACUUUAUGAUCUGUGUUGUAAAAUGAUAUGUAUAACAAGGAUAUGCACCAUUAUGAUUUCAGUAUCUCUGGGUUGUGGGAAUAUAAGCAAAUUUUUGAUUAGUAAAAACAUAUGAUGAUUA